RNAcentral lists this ribosomal RNA (428 nucleotides) under uncultured bacterium. Its description in RNAcentral is "bacterial SSU rRNA". It matches the Rfam family "Bacterial small subunit ribosomal RNA", at positions 34 to 507 of the family's 1533-position model. The record is from RNAcentral.
CGCUGGCGGCAUGCCUAACACAUGCAAGUCGAACGAGACCUUCGGGUCUAGUGGCGCACGGGUGCGUAACGCGUGGGAACCUGCCUUUAGGUUCGGAAUAACUCAGAGAAAUUUGAGCUAAUACCGGAUAAUGUCUUCGGACCAAAGAUUUAUCGCCUUUAGAUGGGCCCGCGUUGGAUUAGCUAGUUGGUGGGGUAAAGGCCUACCAAGGCGACGAUCCAUAGCUGGUCUGAGAGGAUGAUCAGCCACACUGGGACUGAGACACGGCCCAGACUCCUACGGGAGGCAGCAGUGGGGAAUUAUUGGACAAUGGGGCGAAAGCCUGAUCCAGCAAUGCCGCGUGAGUGAUGAAGGCCUUAGGGUUGUAAAGCUCUUUACCCGAGAUGAUAAUGACAGUAUCGGGAGAGUAAGCUCCGGCUAACUCCGUG